UCUCACUUCCCUGUAGGUCAAGUCAGUAGAAGCUUGUAAUAGUAAUAACCACUUCUUUCUAAUAUUUAUUUAAUGUGUAGGUAUGAUUGUGGUAUGUUGGUGAUUAAAUAUAUGGAGUUAUGGGACCACUUACCUAAAUUCGAUGGGAAAAAAAAUGCCUGAUUACACAACGGAACAAUUACAAGUUGUGCGACAACAGAUGGGUUGUCAGUGGGUAUUACACGAAGAUAAUGUUCAUCGCACUAGGGUACUAAAGAAAUUUGGGAUGCUUUAGGCAUUGAUUAACUCAUAAAGU
Vigna umbellata (rice bean) is the source of this 295-nucleotide non-coding RNA. NCBI's taxonomy places the organism in Eukaryota, Viridiplantae, Streptophyta, Magnoliopsida, Fabales, Fabaceae. The record is from RefSeq and is a predicted model, not a curated record.